Molecule: ribosomal RNA, 468 nt
Filed under: uncultured bacterium
Lineage: Bacteria
Description: partial 16S ribosomal RNA
Rfam family: Bacterial small subunit ribosomal RNA
Source: RNAcentral
GACGAACGCUGGCGGCGUGCUUAACACAUGCAAGUCGAACGGAAAAGCCCAGCUUGCGGGGGGGGCUAGUGGGGAAAGCGGGAGUGUCACACGUGAAUACCGUGCUCUACACUGUGGUAUACCUUCAGGAAACUGGGGAUAAUAGGGUAUAGCUGCUCAUCCUACAGGGGGGGGGGGGGAGAGUUUCGGCGGUUGGGGAUGGACUCGCGGCCUAUCAGCUUGUUGGUGGGGUAGUGGCUUACCAAGGCCUUGACGGGUAGCCGGCCUGAGAGGGUGACCGGCCACAUUGGGACUGAGAUACGGCCCAGACUCCUACGGGAGGCAGCAGUGGGGAAUAUUGCACAAUGGGCGGAAGCCUGAUGCAGCAACGCCGCGUGCGGGAUGACGGCCUUCGGGUUGUAAACCGCUUUCGCCUGUGACGAAGCGUGAGUGACGGUAAUGGGUAAAGAAGCGCCGGCUAACUACGUG